This 465-nucleotide ribosomal RNA is filed under the name Vreelandella stevensii. Its description in RNAcentral is "partial 16S ribosomal RNA". It matches the Rfam family "Bacterial small subunit ribosomal RNA", at positions 338 to 795 of the family's 1533-position model. Lineage: Bacteria; Pseudomonadati; Pseudomonadota; Gammaproteobacteria; Oceanospirillales; Halomonadaceae. The record is from RNAcentral.
CCUACGGGUGGCUGCAGUGGGGAAUAUUGGACAAUGGGGGCAACCCUGAUCCAGCCAUGCCGCGUGUGUGAAGAAGGCCCUCGGGUUGUAAAGCACUUUCAGUGAGGAAGAACGCCUGGUGGUUAAUACCCAUCAGGAAAGACAUCACUCACAGAAGAAGCACCGGCUAACUCCGUGCCAGCAGCCGCGGUAAUACGGAGGGUGCGAGCGUUAAUCGGAAUUACUGGGCGUAAAGCGCGCGUAGGUGGCUUGAUAAGCCGGUUGUGAAAGCCCCGGGCUCAACCUGGGAACGGCAUCCGGAACUGUCAAGCUAGAGUGCAGGAGAGGAAGGUAGAAUUCCCGGUGUAGCGGUGAAAUGCGUAGAGAUCGGGAGGAAUACCAGUGGCGAAGGCGGCCUUCUGGACUGACACUGACACUGAGGUGCGAAAGCGUGGGUAGCAAACAGGAUUAGAUGCCCCGGUAGUC